This 414-nucleotide ribosomal RNA is filed under the name uncultured archaeon CR-PA1a. RNAcentral describes it as "bacterial SSU rRNA". It matches the Rfam family "Archaeal small subunit ribosomal RNA", at positions 32 to 452 of the family's 1478-position model. The record is from RNAcentral.
CAUCAGAGUGAGAUUAAGCCAUGCGAGUCAACGUAGCAAUACGUGGCACACGGCUCAGUAACACGUAGUCAACAUAACCAAAGGACGUGGAUAAUCUCGGGAAACUGAGGCUAAACCGCGAUAGACCAAGAUACCUGGAAUGGUUUUUGAUCAAAAUCUAUAUGGCCCUUGGAUUGGACUGCGUCCGAUCAGGCUGUUGGUGAGGUAAUGGCCCACCAAACCUAUAACCGGUACGGGCUCUGAGAGGAGGAGCCCGGAGAUGGGUACUGAGACAAGGACCCAGGCCCUAUGGGGCGCAGCAGGCGCGAAACCUCUGCAAUAGGCGAAAGCCUGACAGGGUUACUCUGAGUGACUUUCGCUAAGAAAGUCUUUUGACAUCUGUAAAAAUGGUGUAGAAUAAGGGGUGGGCAAGUC